This 68-nucleotide transfer RNA is filed under the name Cephalophorus callipygus (Peters' duiker). RNAcentral describes it as "Cephalophus callipygus (Peters' duiker) tRNA-Phe". It matches the Rfam family "tRNA". Rfam says of the family: Transfer RNA (tRNA) molecules are approximately 80 nucleotides in length. Lineage: Eukaryota; Metazoa; Chordata; Mammalia; Artiodactyla; Bovidae. The record is from RNAcentral.
GUUAAUGUAGCUUAAAAUUAAAGCAAGGCACUGAAAAUGCCUAGAUGAGUGCUCUAACUCCAUGAACA